This is a long non-coding RNA of Brassica rapa (field mustard), 2326 nucleotides long. RefSeq lists it as uncharacterized. The record is from RefSeq and is a predicted model, not a curated record. NCBI's taxonomy places the organism in Eukaryota, Viridiplantae, Streptophyta, Magnoliopsida, Brassicales, Brassicaceae.
UUAUUUUUUUUAUUUUGAAACUAUCAACAAUAUAUUGUUUAAAAAAUAAUAAUAUACAAAAAUAUAAUAGUUUAUAACUAACCUUUAGUUCAUAUACUAUUUAAAAAUAUGUUAUUAGAAAACUAUGAAAUUUUAAUUAUUCAUUCAAAAUAUUAAUGACAAAUCAAAUUUUAAUUAUAAAUUUAAUAUUUAUAUUAAUUAUAAACAUAUUCUGAGAGAUGUAUAAAAAUCUUACCGAAAUUAAAAUUAUUAAUAUAAAAUAAUGUAUUAAUUUAGUAACAAAACAAUUUCAAAAAUCAUAUAAUCUCCCACCUCAAAUAUAGUUGUGUAAUUUUCCAAACAAUUUUGACAAAAUAUAAAAUUUAAAAAAUAAGUAUGCAAACUUAAAAUGAUAAUGUUUUAAAUUUUUCAAAAGGUAUAAUCAUUGAUAAUAAAGAAUAACUUCUUGAAAUGUAACACGGAAAAACAAACUAUGUUAUAAAAAUUAAAGUAAUCUAAUAUUUUGAAGUCUUAAUUUACUAACAAAAAAAAAUUAAUAUCAUAACUUCGAAAAAAUAUUCUAUAUCAAUAAAAUUUACUAAAAUAAUAUGAUGGAUGCUACCAUGUAUACAAUUUACUAAAAUAUUAGGUUUAUAUUCACAAUAUAUAACACUAAAAUUAAAAUUAUAUACUUAAAAUAUUUAUAAUAAUUCAAAAGUAUACAUUCAUAAAAUGAAAAAUAUCCGCACGAAUGUGCGGGUCAAAAUCUAGUUGUAUUUUAAAAUGCAGAUACCGCUUGCUCUACUCAACUUAUAUCUGUAGAGAUGGUUUGAGAUCUUAUUUAUUUACUCAUGCAAAACAUUUGCGAUUUUAUUUAUUUUAGAAAUUUGACACCUCAAAUCUACUCUAUUAAAAUAGAGUCUUAUUUGAAUAUACUGUGGCAUAUAUUAAAAUUAGACCUAUUAAAUAUGUUGUGACUAAAUAUAGACACCUUCUAUUAUACCAUCUUUAAUAAGUUUUAUAUUUAUCUUUGUUUACAUUUAUAGAGAUGGCAAUUUAGGAGUUUGCCCGCGGGACCGGCCCAUUAAGAUCUGUUGCGGGUCGGGAUUGGUCACUACAUAACUAGGCCCAUUUUUUAGCGGGCCUCGCGGGCUGAGUUUGUGCGGGUUUGGGCCGGAAGCGGGAUGGGCUCGUGUUGUACCGCGGGGCGCGCGGGAUCCGCACCCACUUCGUCAUCUUGUCUCUUCGAGCUCCCACCGGGAAAGAAACAGAGAGAACUGAUGAUUUGAAAGACGAUCUCUUCCGGCGUAUCUUCUUCUUCAAUCCACCACAACAACUUCGAUUCUCGACAACAACUUCUCCAUGCAUGGUAUUCAUCUUAUCGUUUGAUCAAGUUAUAUGUGCUCCCGGACUUUGACGAGGGAAAACGCAGCUGCUGGAGAAAGCUAGAGCGUCACAACAAUAGAAGGAAAAGGAAACCUGUAGACAGAAGAGGAGUUGCUUCAAAACAACAGCAAGUGAACAGGUUCACAGGAUUGGUCAAGCUUUGAAGAUAGGGCCCGCAGGCCGACCCGCAUAACCGCUGCUAUAGUGCGGGUCAGGAUUGGUCAUAGGGUUCAGGGCCCGUGUCCCGCGGCGGUACGACCCGCAAAGACUCAACUGAAAAUGGUACCGCGGCGGGGCGGGACAAAUGGGUUGCGGGUGAUCCCAAUUGCCAUCUACUCUACUAAAAUAGAGUCCUAUUUGAAUUUACUGUGGCAUAUUUUAAAAUUAGACCUAUUAAAUAUGUUGUGACUAAAUAUAGACACCUUUUAUUAUGUAUUUAUCUUUAUCUACAUUUACAUUACAUUAGAUUAACCCUAUUUAAUUAAAACAAGUAUCUUCCACAUAAAUAAAAAAUUGCUGAUUAGAAUUGGUUGAAUGAUUGAUUAUACCUAGGUGUAGUUUCUCAUUUUCUGGGUUUUUGAUUAUUAAAAUCUACUAGAGGCCAACCCCCGCGCUUGCGCGGGGAUAUUGAUUUUUUUUGUUAUUACCCGUUAAGUUGCCAAGGAGUUGCAAUAGUUUGUAAAGUUGUUAUUGAAACUGUGCAGUAGGUGUGAGACUUUAAGUUGAAUUGUGUAUUGUUUCGUGGGUUUUUUUUAGUAAACUGGAGGUCGCUUUGGUGACUAAAACUGGUUAAAAUGUGGUGAAUUUAUGAGCGUUAUUUUUAGUGUUUAAAUGGCUGAAGGUAUAUUUAUAUGUUUGAUGUUUAUAUGUUUGAUGUUUCUCUGAAUUUGUUAAAAAGUUUUUUUCAGUAGUUUUAUAUAUGUUACAAUAAGUUUAUUGUUCUGAGUUUUUUUAUUUGGUG